Molecule: ribosomal RNA, 271 nt
Filed under: uncultured bacterium
Lineage: Bacteria
Description: partial 16S ribosomal RNA
Rfam family: Bacterial small subunit ribosomal RNA
Source: RNAcentral
UACAGAGGCCUCAAGCGUUGUUCGGAAUUACUGGGCGUAAAGCGGGUGUAGGUGGUGACGUAAGUCAGGUGUGAAAGCCCGAGGCUUAACCUCGGAAUGGCACUUGAUACUGCGUUGCUAGAGUUCGAGAGAGGAAAGUGGAAUUCCCAGUGUAGGGGUGAAAUCCGUAGAUAUUGGGAGGAAUACCAAUGGCGAAGGCAGCUUUCUAGUUCGAUACUGACACUGAGAUCCGAAAGCGUGGGUAGCAAACAGGAUUAGAAACCCUUGUAGU